This 253-nucleotide ribosomal RNA is filed under the name uncultured bacterium. RNAcentral's name for it is "partial 16S ribosomal RNA". It matches the Rfam family "Bacterial small subunit ribosomal RNA", at positions 524 to 776 of the family's 1533-position model. The record is from RNAcentral.
UACAGAGGGGGCAAGCGUUGUUCGGAAUUACUGGGCGUAAAGGGCGCGUAGGCGGCCAACUAAGUCAGACGUGAAAUCCCUCGGCUCAACCGGGGAACUGCGUCUGAUACUGGGUGGCUUGAAUCCGGGAGAGGGAUGCGGAAUUCCAGGUGUAGCGGUGAAAUGUGUAGAGAUCGGGAGGAACACCGGUGGCGAAGGCGGGUCUCUGGGCAAUUCCUGACGCUGAGGCGCGAAAGCGUGGGGAGCAAACGGG